AAUAAGGGGAGGGCAAGUCUGGUGUCAGCCGCCGCGGUAAUACCAGCUCCUCGAGUGGUCGGGACGAUUAUUGGGCCUAAAGCAUCCGUAGCCGGUUUCGUAGGUCUCCUGUUAAAUUCAACCGCUUAACGGUUGGGCCGCAGGAGAUACCGCGAGACUAGGAGGCGAGAGAGGCGGACGGUACUCCGCAGGUAGGGGUAAAAUCCUUUGAUCUGCGGAAGACCACCAGUGGCGAAGGCGGUCCGCCAGAACGCGCUCGACGGUGAGGGAUGAAAGCUGGGGGAGCGAAGCGGAUUAGAUACCCGGGUAGUCCCAGCCGUAAACGAUGCGAGCUAGAUGAUCCGAUCGCAGUUCGCGAUCGGAGUGUCGCAGGGAAGCCGUUAAGCUCGCCGCCUGGGGAGUACGGUCGCAAGGCUGAAACUUGA
RNAcentral lists this ribosomal RNA (425 nucleotides) under uncultured archaeon. RNAcentral describes it as "bacterial SSU rRNA". It matches the Rfam family "Archaeal small subunit ribosomal RNA", at positions 434 to 859 of the family's 1478-position model. The record is from RNAcentral.